Molecule: non-coding RNA, 269 nt
Organism: Maylandia zebra (zebra mbuna)
Lineage: Eukaryota; Metazoa; Chordata; Actinopteri; Cichliformes; Cichlidae
Source: RefSeq, a predicted model, not a curated record
GGUGCCAACAGAUGGCGCAGUUUAAAGUUGGCUGUUACUCUGCCCAGGCUGCUACCAUAGAAGAAGAAUGUAGACCAAUAGUACUUUAACGAUGUCCGCUGAUCGUUUCCGUGUAAAUCUUAGCAUUGCUUUAGCCGUCAAGCUAAAGGUUUAGCUUCAUACUGCCAUAUUUUCAGAGCAACAAAAUAUUUAAACGGUCUCAGAUCAUGGACAGUGAAGUGUCUGACACUGACCAUGUAGCAGUGCCUGAGAACACUGGUAUGGAGGGG